GAAUCAUGCGUUUCUGCUUCGGCGUGGACGACAUGAAGACCCUUGCCUAUGCGUACCCGUUCGUUUGUUCCCUCGGCAGCGGUGCCCUGCGGCUUGCAGGGUGUUACCCUGCCGGUGGGUGCCAACUUGAAACCCUUUUUGAACGUUUCUUCUGAAUUCUUUUUGCUUUUUUGGCAAUUAUUUACAACUUUCAACAACGGAUCUCUUGGCUCUGGCAUCGAUGAAGAACGCAGCGAACUGCGAUACGUAGUGUGAAUUGCAGAAUUUAGUGAAUCAUCGAAUCUUUGAACGCACAUUGCGCCCCUUGGUAUUCCAUGGGGCAUGCCUGUUCGAGCGUCAUUUUGAACCAUUCAAGCGUUGCUUGGUGUUGGGCUCUUGUCGUCGCAGCUCCGCGUCGACUUUGCUCCAAAUUCAUUGGCAGGUCACCUCUGCCGGCCUUCCAGCGCAGCACUUGGCGCAUCCGGGCCGUGGCCGAGGAGGGCUUCGUCCACUUCCACAUUUUGCCUUGGUUGACCUCGGAUCAGGUAGGGAUACCCGCUGAACUUAAGCAUAUCAAUAAGCGGAGGAAAAGAAACCAACAGGGAUUGCCCUAGUAACGGCGAGUGAAGCGGCAACAGCUCAAAUUUGAAAUCUGGCCACCUUUUGAGGAGGUCCGAGUUGUAAUUUGCAGAGGGUGCUUUGGCAUUGAAGGUGGUCUAAGUUCCUUGGAACAGGACAUCACAGAGGGUGAGAAUCCCGUACGUGGUCGCCUUUCUCUGCCGUGUAAAGCCCCUUCGACGAGUCGAGUUGUUUGGGAAUGCAGCUCUAAGCGGGAGGUAAAUUUCUUCUAAAGCUAAAUACUGGCCAGAGACCGAUAGCGCACAAGUAGAGUGAUCGAAAGAUGAAAAGCACUUUGGAAAGAGAGUCAAAUAGCACGUGAAAUUGUUGAAAGGGAAGCGCUUGCCGCCAGACUUGCCUGCGGUUGCUCACCUAGGCACAGCCCUAGGGCACUCUUCCGUAGGCAGGCCAGCAUCAGUUUGGGCAGCCGGAUAAAGACCUCUGUCACGUAUCUUCCUCCGGGAUGACCUUAUAGGGGAGGUGCAAUGCGGUUAGCCUGG
This 1097-nucleotide ribosomal RNA is filed under the name Ascomycota sp. M20303P15CC1144. Its description in RNAcentral is "eukaryotic LSU rRNA". The stretch from base 511 to 1097 matches the Rfam family "Eukaryotic large subunit ribosomal RNA", at positions 1 to 587 of the family's 3401-position model. The record is from RNAcentral. Lineage: Eukaryota; Fungi; Ascomycota.